Molecule: ribosomal RNA, 418 nt
Filed under: Salmonella enterica
Lineage: Bacteria; Pseudomonadati; Pseudomonadota; Gammaproteobacteria; Enterobacterales; Enterobacteriaceae
Also listed under: 4 other names
Description: partial 23S ribosomal RNA
Rfam family: Bacterial large subunit ribosomal RNA
Source: RNAcentral
GACUCGUCACACUAUCAUUAACUGAAUCCAUAGGUUAAUGAGGCGAACCGGGGGAACUGAAACAUCUAAGUACCCCGAGGAAAAGAAAUCAACCGAGAUUCCCCCAGUAGCGGCGAGCGAACGGGGAGGAGCCCAGAGCCUGAAUCAGCAUGUGUGUUAGUGGAAGCGUCUGGAAAGGCGCGCGAUACAGGGUGACAGCCCCGUACACAAAAGCGCAUGUGCUGUGAGCUCGAUGAGUAGGGCGGGACACGUGGUAUCCUGUCUGAAUAUGGGGGGACCAUCCUCCAAGGCUAAAUACUCCUGACUGACCGAUAGUGAACCAGUACCGUGAGGGAAAGGCGAAAAGAACCCCGGCGAGGGGAGUGAAAAAGAACCUGAAACCGUGUACGUACAAGCAGUGGGAGCACAGGUUUACCUG